RNAcentral lists this long non-coding RNA (1278 nucleotides) under Junco hyemalis (dark-eyed junco). RNAcentral describes it as "lncRNA (ENSJHYG00000011564.1)". The record is from RNAcentral. Lineage: Eukaryota; Metazoa; Chordata; Aves; Passeriformes; Passerellidae.
UCCCGGUGCCAGGGUGGCCUCACCCCUUGCUGGGUGUCCCCACACCCCGGCCCAGCUGUGGCCCAGGAGCAGCCUCAGGGCUGCCAGGGGGUCACUGCUGGGUCCCUUCCCAGAGCUCAGAUCCAGCCUGGAGCUCAGGGGUCCCCUGGGAUCCAUCCCCACCCUCCAGCCCUGCCCCCCAGCUGCUCCCAGCCCUGCCAUCCACCCCAGCUGGGGAAUGGGGUCGAGUUUUGGGAGAAGAACGCAAAAAAUGGAAACCAGACACUGGUGUGAGCAGAGACUCCCCCAGACUCCCACUCCCUGCUCCUUGCUCUGCAUCACCUCAUCUGAGCUCCCAGGAUGAGUUUCUGCUCCCCAUGGGGGAGAUUUCCUCUGCAUCCACUUGGGAACUUCUCCAGCCUCAGCACGAGGUGCCAGGGGGGUUUGUGGAGCUGGAGAAGGGAACAGAGCUGGGAGAGCAGGAGCUGCCAGGACAUCCUCACCUGGGUCACAUCUGCACAGGGAUGGGCUCAGCAGGAGGGUGACAGCGCUCCCAGCACUCCCAGUGCUCCCAGCACCUCACCCUGGUACCGCCCUACAUUUAACACCCCAUGGUCAUGUCCCCCAUGGGAGUUCCUUCCCAGGCAGGGGCUCUGUGACACCCCAUAGUCCCAUCCACAUCCUGGGCAAUGGCCUGGCUGCUGCCUCCCCUGCCCAGCCCCAGCCCACGGGGUACCAGCCACCCCUAAGGGAUGCUCCAGCUCCCCACAUUCUUCUGGAAUCCCAAAGGGAUCCUUUCCCCUCCCCACAGGUGUUUCCAGUUCCCCACAUUCUUCUGGAAUCCCAAAGGGACGCUCUCCCUUCCCCAGGAGAUGCUUCAGCUCCCCAUGUUCUUCUGGGCCCCCAAAGGGAUCCUUUCACUUCCCAAGGGGAUGUUCCAGCUCCUCACAGGUGUUUCCAGCUCCACACAGUUCUUCUGGCACCCCAAAAGGAUCCUUUGCCUUCCCAAGGGGAUGUUCCAGGUCCCCAUGGGUGUUUCCAGCUCCACACAGUUCUUCUGACACCCCAAAGGGAUCCUUUUCCUUCCCCAGGAGAUGCUCCAGCUCCUCACAGGUGUUUCCAGCUCCCCACAUUCUUCUGGAACCCCAAAAGGAUCCUUUCCCAGGGGAUGCUCCAGGUCCCCAUGGGUGUUUUGAGCUCCCCACAAUUCUUCUGGCACCCCAAAGGAAUCCUUUCCCUCUCCCAUGGGUGUUUUGAGCUCCCUACAGUUCUUCUGACACCCCAAAAGGAUCCUUNNNN